GAUUACUAAUACAUAGCGGAACAAAGAGAUGGUGGCAGUCACGAUUUCUCGCAAAAUUCGAAUUACCAUAGACAAAUGAUGAUCUUCACCAUCGACAAGACAUGAUUCAAUUUCCCUUUCCAUUUGCUCCAAUGACCGAACACAAGCGACUAUGUUCUUCUUCGCUUUCUUUCUCGACAAAAAGUAAUCCAUAAGGUGACCAUCGGUGGUUGAAUAAGUGGCCACGCCUUUUCUCCGCAAUGCGAAUUGAAGGACCCGAGCACUUCCCUUCAUUUGCCCAAGCAAUUCUAGGAGGCUACCAUAUGAGUCCAUCAACCGAGUCGAUCUAACAAGCGCGUCUUCGAUUAGGACUUUGUUUCUGGAUUGAAGAUUAACCUUUUGUGUCUGGGUGGAACCAAGAAGUUCAUUAACCGAUGUGUACAAGUCAGUUAGACAUGCUAGACCAGUAUGAAUACGUGUGGAUGAGUAGAAGGGUUCAAGUGUUUUGAGCUUGUUGAGGUUGAUUUCAAUUUGAGAAAAAGAUGGGUUUGAUCUAGAUGGAAGACUAAUGGAUCGAAGCUGAGAUGGGUUUGUGCUCUCCAUGUUUGAAUUUUGGUCAUGUAUGGAAAUGGUAAAGUUUUCAUCAACCAUCACUAAUCAUUUAGUGGUGGUCACGGAUACUUAACUUCCACCUAUGAUGGACCCGGGUGAAUUUUCUUCUUCAGGUCUUAAGUUCAAGUCUGGUUGAUAGGAGUUUCUCACUGAGGGGUUUAAAUUGGAGAUCUAUUGUGCGAGGAAGCUCUCUAGCGCGGACCCGAUUAAGAAAACGUAUACUAGACCUCCCAACAUUUGCAAAUAAUUCACACCUUUCAAAAAAAGGUAAAGUUUUCAUUGAUGAAAUCAGAGCUCAUUGGUGGAAUCUAGGUCGCGGUUUGCAACAUAAAUAAAUAACGGCUUUCACUAUUUUUAGGGUGGAGGGAGUCGUUCAAUUACUUUAGGGUGUUUGAGUUAUUCUCUAUCCAAUAAUAUCAUGCCAUGUCAAGUCCCCAUUCCACUCCCUAUUUUACACUCAAUCACUAAGGGUGAGAGGGGCACUCCCCUCUUAGGGGAGUCCCCUCUCUCACACACACCCAAUCAGGUUAUGACAUGUCAACUCCCCUCUUAAACUCCUCUCACACCCUCAAUUUGAUGACGGCACUCCUCUCUUAGGGGACUUGUUUUUUUAUUC
Molecule: long non-coding RNA, 1207 nt
Filed under: Helianthus annuus (common sunflower)
Lineage: Eukaryota; Viridiplantae; Streptophyta; Magnoliopsida; Asterales; Asteraceae
Description: hypothetical non coding rna
Source: RNAcentral